This 321-nucleotide long non-coding RNA is filed under the name Capsella rubella. RNAcentral describes it as "long non-coding RNA (CRUB_LNC001023)". The record is from RNAcentral. Lineage: Eukaryota; Viridiplantae; Streptophyta; Magnoliopsida; Brassicales; Brassicaceae.
UGAUUACUUGGUUAUGUUUGAUCUUUUGAUUAGAUUCUAUUCAAACGUUUCCAUACAUAAUUAAGAGUAAACUAAUGAUUAUAUAAAUCUUAAACCUAACGACACUUGGUUUUUGAUAAUGCGUUUGAUCCUGCCUUCUCUGGCGUGUAUGGACUCUUUGACAAAAAGUCGUCGUUUGCUUUUAUAUCAAGGAAAAGAAAAGAAAAAAAACUUAUAACAUAGAGAGCACAUGAUUCCAACUUUCUUGGCAAUCCAACGGCUAUUACUCAUCCGUAAGGUCUUUUGUCAUAUCGUGCCGACACGAUGGUCCGCAAACUUUGG